Molecule: long non-coding RNA, 3521 nt
Organism: Ctenopharyngodon idella (grass carp)
Lineage: Eukaryota; Metazoa; Chordata; Actinopteri; Cypriniformes; Xenocyprididae
Exons: 3
Source: RefSeq, a predicted model, not a curated record
UUAUGUAUUGUGUUUUUAAAAUACCAUUGUAUUGUAUUUUAAUGUAUGUUAUUGCACUGUAAAUGACCAUAGUGUUAUAAUGCGAGUCAUCGUUAUUGGUAGAAAAGAGGUGCAUUAUUGAACAUAUCCUGAGAUGCUUACUUUUCAGUUAUUAUUUGACAAACUAGUUUAAAGCGAUACAUUCAGGAUCAGUUCAUAAAAAGACAUUUAUUGUUCGCCUAUGCGAUUAAUUAAUUGUUAGACAGUUUGGAAUAGAUGAACUAACGUUACGUGGGCGUGGCUCUCAUUUAAAGUACAGCUAUUUAUUAUGACCAGAGCCGUUGAAAAACAUAUUUAACGGCUCUGAUUAUGACCAUUUGUAAAAUCAACUAAAUCGAUAUUAAAACAGAUCAAUUUGUCUCAGCUGCACUGUUUCUGUUUCAAAUAAUCGCAGGGCACCUUUGUGCACAAUCCGUUUGCAAUACUAGGAAUUUAAAGCUGCAGGCUGCGGAUGCUUCAGGAGUCAUUCAGAAAUUUAUGAAAUGCUAUCGAUCUUCGUUUAGACCGGUGUCUCCUGCAUACAUCUUUGCUCAGAACAGAUUACUGAAGCCCUUAUAAGGAUGUUUCAAACAGAAAGAGGAAGAGGAAGAGAGACUUAAAGUCUUACAGCCACAGCAUGUGAUUUGAAAUUUGAAAGGAAGUCGCAGGAGCUUUUAUCAGAAAGGAAAUAUAAAGUAACCUUUCCCAGGUGUUUUCCAAUGUUUCAGUCCCACUUCAGCUCUCUCGGAGUGGUUCAGAACUCAGUGGUUUGAAUUUGAGAUAUGUUUUAGAACAGAAGCCAACUUUAUGCUGUCUAAUUUAUGGACAGUAUAACAUUAUAAGGCAAGGAGCUCUCACUAAGAGCUCUCAUAAAAUACAACUCAGCUUAUACAUAGUGUUCCAAAUAAGCUCUCUGAUUGUACAUACUAAAUAAGGAAAAGAGGGUGGUCACUCACUUGGCUGUCAUUUCAGGAAUGUAUAUGUGUCAGAACAUGCACAAAUUCAGGCACAUUUAAAAAAAAAAAAGGAUUCAGUUUUACUUUUCACACUCCUGCAUAUGAAUGCAAUCGUGUCAAUCAGAUUCUCAAUUUUAGCUCUAUCCCGUGAAAAAUAUUAAAUGAGUUGGAUUAAAAAACGUUAUGUGAUGGAAAAUAUGUUUAAUUAUUGCUUAUGUUGUGUGUACUGCAAUGUAUUAUUUUAGAGCAUUGUAUUUCCUCAUUUUAUGAUGUGGCUUUAAAAAAAAUAUAAAAGAAUAAAUUAAUAAAAAAAAAUAAUACAAUUAUUUUAAAUAAAAAUACACUAUCUUUCAAAAGUUUGGAGUCAGUAAGAUUUUAAAAAUGUUAUUCAGCAAGGGCAUUAAAUUGAUCAAAAGUGAAAGUAAAGGCAUUUAUAAAGUUACAAAAGAUCUAUUUUAAUUAAAUGCUGAAAUGCUAAAAAAUAUAUAUAGUACUGUGUAAAGGUUUUAGGACACCACCAGCUUUGUUGUUUUAGCAAUGUUUUAAUGACCAUCCAUAUUUAUUUUUCAGUCUCUUUAUUACGAUACAAACAGAAAAUAAAGGAAAUAUGUACACAAAAUGUAGAGAAAAAAAAGGUUUUUUUAAGCAAAAAUCAGUAUUUAGUGUCACCUCCUGGACUUCUUCCAGUUUCUCAAAGAAGAAACUCUAUUUUGAAAGUUUAAUUGGCCUUCCAGUCCUUUUCCAUUCCAUUUAGGUUUAAGAGAGCCAGGUUCCUGCUAUUGCUCAAGUGUAAGGGGAGGUCACUAAAUACUUGCCACUUUAGCCUAUAAAUUAAACAGAUUUUAUUUUCUGUUUUUUUAAUACUGCAUUCAGAUUUACUGUAUUUUCUGGUUAUAUUCUAAAGGCCUAAGACUUUUGCACAGUAUAUUUCAGUUUCCACAAAAAUAUUAGGCAGCACAACUGUUUUUAACAUUGACAAUAAUAAGAAAAGUUUUUUGAGUAGCAAAUCAGUAUAGAAUGAUUUCUGAAGGAUCAUGUGACACUGAAGACUGGAGUAAUGAUGCUGAAAAUUCAGCUUAUAUUACAAUAGAAAACAGUUACAAAAAGAGUUUGAGUUUCAACUUCUACAAUAUCAUCAGCAGAGAGAGCUGUUGAGUCUGAGUAACAAAAUAAUGCAAGAUUGUAUGCAAGGACACUUUCAUGACACACAGAUGGGUUUACCUUCAACAAGAAUUCUAAAGAUGCAUUGACUUCUCGGAAUUCCUGCCUUAUCAUGUGCACAAAUCCCCAACAGACAACAGGACAAUCCCAUGUUUUUGAAUUUUAUUCUUUGAGGUCUUUGGAUGAAGAAGGAGAUGCAACAUAUGUUGUACAAUAAUGUAUACCAACAAGAAUCUUAACCCUAAAGUGGGAAACCUGCCACAUUGUACAUCAACAAUAUUUAUACUGGCAUUUUCUGCUACUUAUACUUUACGAGUUAAUUGGGGAGAAAAAACAAAAUCUAGCUUUCAGCAUAAUAUAGUUUUAGGAUGUUAUUUUCACUUAAUGGUUUCAUUAGUUGGGUUUGACAGAUGAACCUCAUUAAAUCGAGAGAUUUGCACUUUGUGCAUCGUUUACACUGCUUCAUUAGCAGAGAUUAUAACUCAGUCAAUGCUGAUUUUGAACUGAGAGAGCAGUCUGGAAGCCUGGAAGCAAGUUGAAAAUGUGUAGCUCUGGGCCACAUAAGAGUUCAGCUCAUCAAGAGAGUAAAUGAAGCUGGUUUAAUUAGCUUUUUCUAUAUGAAUGCAUCCUAAACAUAGCUGUUUUUUUAUCUACUUUAGGCUGUUGUUGUGUCUAUGGGGUGUGAUAGUUAUCAGUGUAAAUAUGGCAACAUUUAAUUCUUGUCAGAUGCCCUGUCUUGAUCCAUCAUCAGUGUUUGUUCCACACAAUGCAUUUACAGAGUUCCUUUUUCCCCAAGAAAAAUACAAAAGGAAGGUCAAGUUAGAUAGUACACUGUCAUACUGCAUAUUGUCAAUAAUCUUUUCCAGUAUGUUUGUCUUCACUAUUACAACUCGAAACUUUUACUUAAACUUUUUUCUUUUUUUAAGAAUUUGUGAUAUCUUAAAACUCUAGAUGUGAGGAUAUCAACAUGAUCUCUUUUUAACAAUAAGAAUGGUAACACUUUGUUAACAUUUGUUAAUAUUGGAUAACUACAUUAGUUUACAUCCCAUAAAAAAGGUAUAAAAGCUGUCACUGGGUGCAUAUUAGUAACUCAAAGGUACCAAAAGGUUACAUAUUAUUACCUAAAUAUUAGGACCUUUUUACUGUAGUCCCAGUGACAGUGAAAAUGACUUCUAAAGCAUUUAUUAAUAUUAAUUUCAACAUUUAAUAAUACAUUAUUAAAAUCAAAAGUUGUAUCUGUAAAUAUUAUUUAUUGUAUGCGCUAACAUGAACUAACAAUGAGUUGUAUUUUUAUUAACAUUAACAAAGAUUAACAGAUAACAUGCUUAUUGUUAAUUAAUAUAAUGCAUUAAUACUGUAAAGUAUUACCAAAGAAAUAAAACAAGA